This 609-nucleotide long non-coding RNA is filed under the name Salvia miltiorrhiza (redroot sage). RNAcentral's name for it is "long non-coding RNA (SMIL_LNC001906)". The record is from RNAcentral. Lineage: Eukaryota; Viridiplantae; Streptophyta; Magnoliopsida; Lamiales; Lamiaceae.
AGAGAUAAAUAUUACAUACUUCAAAAAAUAUAAAAAGUAUGACUUGAUAAAAAAAAGAAAAAUUGAACUCAUAAUCAACAGACAGAAACCUAUGCUAACCAAACACUAUUCUGAUUUCUGACUACUUCCUACUGUUGAAGGCCGCCACGAUAUUAGGUAUAGGGUUGGAGUAACUACCGUAGUUCUUGUUCACAAAGUAACUGCAUAUUUUUAUUAAAUUCAUUCAAGGGAAGAGAUACUCUGGCAGUACCACUACUAAAACCAAAUUAUAUUUUUAUAUUUAUAAAUAAAUUUGAAAGCUAAAAUUACAUUUGGAUAUAUAAUAAAUUUUUUUAAAAAAUACAUUCUAAUAAUAUUGUAGCGGUGUAAAAUAUGUAGCCCCAUUUUCCUUGAUAAACUCUGGUCAAGGUAUGGAAAUGACCUAGUCACAUGCACCCUUAUUAGAGUCUAACCCGAAUCAAAGCACUGAUGAAAUAGAGAAGACUCAAAUCAAAGUACUGAUGAAAAACAGAUAAAAUAUGUUAGUAUUUUAAAUGGAAUAAAUAAAUAAUUUGUAAAACUAAACUAUACGUUCAAAAUAUUUCAGUCUACUAAUUGAAACUAUGCGGG